This 1481-nucleotide ribosomal RNA is filed under the name uncultured prokaryote. Its description in RNAcentral is "partial 16S ribosomal RNA". It matches the Rfam family "Bacterial small subunit ribosomal RNA". The record is from RNAcentral.
AGAGUUUGAUCCUGGCUCAGGACGAACGCUGGCGGCGUGCUUAAUGCAUGCAAGUCGAACGAAGAACCCGCUAUGGGUAACCACUGCGGAAUUCUUAGUGGCGAACGGGUGAGUAACACGUGAGAAACCUGCCCCGGAGACCGGAAUAGCCCAGGGAAACCUGGAUUAAUACCGGAUACCCUCCGACGAUCGCAUGAUCGACGGAGGAAAUGGUCCGCCGCUCCGGGAUGGUCUCGCGGCCUAUCAGUUAGUUGGUGAGGUAACGGCUCACCAAGACUACGACGGGUAGCUGGUCUGAGAGGACGAUCAGCCACACUGGGACUGAGACACGGCCCAGACUCCUACGGGAGGCAGCAGCAGGGAAUUUUGCACAAUGGGCGCAAGCCUGAUGCAGCGACGCCGCGUGGGGGAUGAAUGCCUUCGGGUUGUAAACCCCUUUCAGGAGGGACGAAGCGAAAGUGACGGUACCUCCAGAAGAAGCCCCGGCCAACUACGUGCCAGCAGCCGCGGUAAUACGUAGGGGGCGAGCGUUGUCCGGAUUUAUUGGGCGUAAAGAGCUCGUAGGCGGCUCAGCAAGUCGGCCGUGAAAGCCUGAGGCUCAACCCUGGGAUGCCGGUCGAAACUGCUGUUUCUUGAGUAUAGUUGAGGUAGGCGGAAUGUGCAAUGUAGCGGUGAAAUGCUUAGAUAUUACACAGAACACCGAUUGCGAAGGCAGCUUACUAAGCUAUUACUGACGCUAAUGCACGAAAGCGUGGGGAGCGAACAGGAUUAGAUACCCUGGUAGUCCACGCCGUAAACGAUGAUUACUCGUUGUUGGCGAUAUAUUGGUCAGCGACUGAGCGAAAGCAUUAAGUAAUCCACCUGGGGAGUACGUUCGCAAGAAUGAAACUCAAAGGAAUUGACGGGGGCCCGCACAAGCGGAGGAACAUGUGGUUUAAUUCGAUGAUACGCGAGGAACCUUACCUGGGCUUAAAUGCAGAACGACGUUCGCCGAAAGGUGAAUUCCCUUCGGGGCGGACUGCAAGGUGCUGCAUGGUUGUCGUCAGCUCGUGCCGUGAGGUGUCGGGUUAAGUCCCAUAACGAGCGCAACCCCUAUUGUUAGUUGCCAGCGGAUAAUGCCGGGGACUCUAACGAGACUGCCACCGUAAGGUGUGAGGAAGGUGGGGAUGACGUCAAGUCAGCACGGCCCUUAUGUCCAGGGCUACACACGUGUUACAAUGGUCGGUACAAAGGGCAGCUACCUGGUGACAGGAUGCUAAUCUCAAAAAACCGAUCUCAGUUCGGAUCGAAGUCUGCAACUCGACUUCGUGAAGUUGGAUUCGCUAGUAAUCGUAUAUCAGCAACGAUACGGUGAAUACGUUCCCGGGCCUUGUACACACCGCCCGUCAAGCCAUGGAAGCUGGGAGUACCUGAAGUCCGUAACCGCAAGGAUCGGCCUAGGGUAAAACUAGUGACUGGGGCUAAGUCGUAACAAGGUAACC